UACGGGGGGAGCAAGCGUUGUUCGGAUUUACUGGGCGUAAAGGGCGCGUAGGCGGCCUGUGCAAGUCAGUUGUGAAAUCUCCGAGCUUAACUCGGAACGGUCAACUGAUACUGCUCGGCUAGAGUGCGGAAGGGGCAACUGGAAUUCUUGGUGUAGCGGUGAAAUGCGUAGAUAUCAAGAGGAACACCUGCGGCGAAGGCGGGUUGCUGGGCCGACACUGACGCUGAUGCGCGAAAGCUAGGGGAGCGAAUGGG
This 254-nucleotide ribosomal RNA is filed under the name uncultured bacterium. RNAcentral describes it as "partial 16S ribosomal RNA". It matches the Rfam family "Bacterial small subunit ribosomal RNA", at positions 524 to 776 of the family's 1533-position model. The record is from RNAcentral.